GACGAACGCUGGCGGCGUGCUUAACACAUGCAAGUCGAACGGAAAGGCCCUGCUUUUGUGGGGUGCUCGAGUGGCGAACGGGUGAGUAACACGUGAGUAACCUGCCCUUUACUUUGGGAUAACUUCAGGAAACUGGGGCUAAUACCGGAUAGGAGCUCCUUCUGCAUGGUGUGGGUUGGAAAGUUUCGGCGGUUGGGGAUUGACUCGCGGCUUAUCAGCUUGUUGGUGGGGUAGUGGCUUACCAAGGCUUUGACGGGUAGCCGGCCUGAGAGGGUGACCGGCCACAUUGGGAAUGAGAUACGGCCCAGACUCCUACGGGAGGCAGCAGUGGGGAAUAUUGCAAAAUGGGCGGAAGCCUGAUGCAGCAACGCCGCGUGCGGGAUGACGGCCUUCGGGUUGUAAACCGCUUUCGCCUGUGACGAAGCGUGAGUGACGGUAAUGGGUAAAGAAGCACCGGCUAACUACGUG
This 468-nucleotide ribosomal RNA is filed under the name uncultured bacterium. RNAcentral describes it as "partial 16S ribosomal RNA". It matches the Rfam family "Bacterial small subunit ribosomal RNA", at positions 28 to 507 of the family's 1533-position model. The record is from RNAcentral.